GGCAGCUCCGAUUCGACCCUUAGCCUGGAAACUUCCCCUAUGCUGCAGGUGGAGCCCUACAAAAUUUCUUUAAAUGCUUCUUUUCCAGUUCUUCAACAAGCCACCAAAUCAGAAGUAGUUAGUUACUGAAACCUCCCAUGAACACCAGGCUUAUAACUCAAAAUUUCAGCCCAACUUUCCCCACUCCCUGUUGUGCAUCUCUGCUCCCCUGGGCAGAGAAGAGCAGCAAUUUUUUCCACCAAGUGGAGCUUCCAGUUCCCCAGGAAUCAGCGCUGUAACCUCUGUGACCACGGCCCCCAAUUUAAGAAAGCUGCAGACGGCCCGCGCUAAACUCCAUCUCACCCUGAGUCUUUUUUCCCCGAGCAGCUUCGCUCCAUAAAACAGUCCAAACUUGUGAAAACGCUUUCACAUGGUUCUGGCCGCGUGGCAAAGCAGGGGCACGAUGCCCUACUUCUGCAGGGUCUGGGCUUUAUUGGAGGGAAACAGGCUUUCCUCUGCUCGUUCUUUCCAUCACUUCUGGAGACAAGCUCUCCAGCUCCAGCUACUCAAACAAAAUGUUCCCCAGUUUUCCUUCCCACACCCGUGACCUCUGUUCCUUGAUGAAGUCCCCUGGAAACGGGCCUGGACUGUGUCCAACCAACUUCUCCAGGCUCUUCCAUCAUGAACGCAACAGAUGUUGUUUCACGAGCUUGGGUGUCCUUUGUUCCUCGCCUUUGAGCGUGUGGGUCAGUCUUCGAGGCUCCAGUGGGGAAGGCUGAGGGGUUGCAUCAGGCCCAGCCCUGGCCUCACCCUUCUCACCCGAGGGCAGGAGAAGGAAGCCCCUUUGUGUGCACAGCCAACAGGCCUGUGCUUUCCUCUCUAGACGCGGCCAGAGGCUGCGAGCCAGCGGGUAGACAGCAUGGGCGCCGGAUCGGCCGGUCCAGCCCCGGAGCCAGAAGGGCCCACUUAUUUCACACGCAGCCGUGAGAUGCUGGACCAUUCCUGCAGCCAGACGCAUUAAAGCGGGCUGACUUUUGCAUCCGUCCCAAUCUCUCCUGAGAGCAAGGGCUGGUUCUUUGCGCUGGAGGAAGGGACCGAGCCAGCUUCCUUGGAAGAAAUCUCCCUGUGACCUCCACAAAGGCCUGGGCUCCGUUGCCAAGGGAGCCUGGAAACCGAGGAGGCGGCGCCGUUAGAGGGCGGCAUGAGCUAAGCCAGAGCUCGGAGCUGGCUCCUCGUUGCAAUUACAGGCUGUCUCAGAGCAGAAGCGCCAGGGUUCCAGUGUCAGCAGAAAAGCAAGUUAGAAAGAGGCAAGGGAGGGGAGGCUGGGAGAGAGCAACAUCCCCCAAGCCCAAGCAGUGCCAGGGAGACACUGCUCUUGGGAGAGCCGGGCUGCGUGUCCCAGCACAUGCUCCCGGGAUAAACCCGGGGAGAGAGAGGCUUCGGGGGAGGCUGGCACCUCCCGACCCAUUAGCCCGCCUUUGAUGGGCUCCCUGGCCUCUGGGCCAGGAAGCCAGGGUGCGUGGCCAGACCCCAAGCAGGCAGGCGCAAGGGGGACCCGGGCAAGGCCCUGAGUGGCCCUUCAUUCUCAGACUCCUGGAACAAGAGGACAAAGGAGCGUCCAGAUGCUGGUAGAUGCCAGAGCCACGGCUGGGUUUUAGCGGGAAGGGCGAAAUUUGACCCCACCCAUCAGGACCCAGCCUCUUUGCCAGUGUAUGGGGUGACCCAGUUCUGAGCGCAGCGCCUGGCUCUGAGCAGACCUGCAUCAGCCUCCCGGCUCGCGGCCCCAGCCCUGCCAGAGAGCUCAGGACAGGCCAUCUUUCCACAGGACAGGAAGGAGCUGGCACUUGGGUGGCCCCUGGAAAAGCGGCUCUGCAUCUCAAAGGCCUCCCUGAGGAUGGAGGACUGGCCUCGGCCCCUCCUCCCACAGCACCCCACAUUCUGAUUCACGGGGUGCCCCACCCUCCACCCCUGGAGAGCAGAACCAGAGCCGCCGCGGCCGGGCCUCACCUCCUCCAGGUCACCAGGGCCAGGAACUGGGGUGCUUGUGCAACCUGAUUAUUCAUCUCCUCCCACGAGCCCUUCGGGGCGGUGGCCCUGUCCACGAUGCCACACCGGGGGCACUUCUGAAUGACAGGCUCUGCCCUAGAAGGCCCAGGCAGGUUCGAGUGUCACACAGAAGGUGACAGGUCCCCAAAGUUCCAGCCCUGGGUUCUCCCCCCAUGGUCGGGCCCGAGGUUCUCCUUCCCUUCUCACUCCCCUCCCUGGUUCACUUUCAUUUCCUGUCCUCCCCCAGGACCCAGCCUGGCAGGCAAGCCCUGAGCUCACCCCCAGAUUGCAGGGUGCCUGUGGUUCAGCCCAUUGCUCUGGCUGACAUUUCCUUAUGGAGCAAUUCCUUGGGUUUUUUUUUUUUUUUUUUGAGCACCACUCACAGAUUUUGUUUCAAUUCUGCCUACUGAAAGCCAGGCACGGGUCCUGAGCGGGCGGCGUAGCAAGGCUGACGGUACCAGGACCUCCGCGUCCCAGCCCUGCACACGUGGCCCUUGGGAGCAGCCUCUGGGCCUCCUCCCCCCUCCCCCGUCCACGCGUUGGUCCAAGUGAGAGGGACGGCAGAGCCUCUAAACUGGGCGCAUGCUAAUUAUAGAAGCGAGCCUCACCAUCGAGAAUAGAACGCCUUUGGAACUGAAUGGAAACUUCACGCUGCCGGGAGAGUUUCCAGUGUCCAACAGCGCUGGGCAAGGUAUUCCGACAAGUUCCCCACUGACAGCAAUGUUAAAGCUGGACGAGAUGUCAAAGAACUCCGUGUCUUUCUGGUUUAAUUUUGAAUUAUUGAGCAGGAAAGAAUAUUGGCUAUUGAUGUGGGAAUCGGAAAGGGCGGAGGUUCCUUCCUCUCCCAUCACCCCGGCUUCCGAAAGCAAGUUAAACCUUAACUAUUCAGCCUGAAAAAAGGGGAUUCCACCAUGUGGAUGGGCCUGGAGGACACGGCGCUCCGUGAAGUAAGCCAGACGCGUGGAGAGAGCAGUCCUGUGGCGGCGACAUUGAGCCGACUGUCCCAGGGACCUGGACGAGACACACCUCCAGGGAGGCAGGGCGACUUCGACAGGACAAACCAGCAGGUCUCCAGCAUGACAAGCGCAAGAAAAGGCCACACCGUGAGAGCAGACCGUUGGGGCUGGCCACCAAGAGCACCUGUCUUCUUUCUAACCAGAGAUGAUGGUGACAUGAACGCCACCCGGGCACCAAGCAAAGCCAGGCAAGCCGAACCCCCUCCACCCCAUGUGCUCUCGGGGUCCACUGUCUCUCCGCCAAACUCCCCACAGGACUGCAGGGCAUUGGGGCUGUCAGUUUCUGGUCCCACCUCAUCCUCUGAUUAAGUCACCAGAGAGCACUGAUUUUCUAGCUAUAAUGGACACUCUAAUGCUUGCCUUUUUUGGGGGGUCUUUUUAGGGCCAUACCCAAGGCAUAUGGAGGUUCCUAGGCUA
Sus scrofa (pig) is the source of this 3458-nucleotide non-coding RNA. The record is from RefSeq and is a predicted model, not a curated record. Lineage: Eukaryota; Metazoa; Chordata; Mammalia; Artiodactyla; Suidae.